AGAGUUUGAUCCUGACUCAGGAUGAACGCUAGCUACAGGCUUAACACAUGCAAGUCGAGGGGAAACGACAUCGAAAGCUUGCUUUUGAUGGGCGUCGACCGGCGCACGGGUGAGUAACGCGUAUCCAACCUGCCCAUCACUUGGGGAUAACCUUGCGAAAGUAAGACUAAUACCCAAUGACGUCUCUAGAAGACAUCUGAAAGAGAUUAAAGAUUUAUCGGUGAUGGAUGGGGAUGCGUCUGAUUAGCUUGGUUGGAGGGGUAACGGCCACCAAGGCGACGAUCGAGUAGGGGUUCUGAGAGGAAGGUCCCCCACAUUGGAACUGAGAUACGGUCCAAACUCUACGGGAGGCA
This 353-nucleotide ribosomal RNA is filed under the name uncultured bacterium. Its description in RNAcentral is "bacterial SSU rRNA". It matches the Rfam family "Bacterial small subunit ribosomal RNA", at positions 8 to 350 of the family's 1533-position model. The record is from RNAcentral.